AGACAGCAGAGUUAUUUCCCGCCCACUUUCUACUUCUAAUUGCCUCUGACCCAGAUGGCAACAAGUCCCAACCAAUCAGAGGCAGAACAGGGCAGUCUGUUUUUCUGUUUUUUAGCAAAACGUC
This is a long non-coding RNA of Etheostoma spectabile (orangethroat darter), 124 nucleotides long. RefSeq lists it as uncharacterized. The record is from RefSeq and is a predicted model, not a curated record. NCBI's taxonomy places the organism in Eukaryota, Metazoa, Chordata, Actinopteri, Perciformes, Percidae. The transcript has 3 exons.